AAGGGAGAAAGGUGUAAAAACUCAGCUAGCGACGAAGAGCCGAGUUUUACUGAGGAUGGUAUUGAUGGUCAUAAUGAGAAUAGUAAGGGGAAGAAGGGAUCGAUGUGGCAUCGGGUGAAAUGGACGGAUAAAAUGGUGAAGCUUUUGAUUACUGCAGUGUCUUAUAUAGGAGAUGAUAUUGCUUCAGAUCUUGAUGGGGGUGGAAGAAGGAAAUGCCA
Molecule: unclassified non-coding RNA, 218 nt
Filed under: Hevea brasiliensis (rubber tree)
Lineage: Eukaryota; Viridiplantae; Streptophyta; Magnoliopsida; Malpighiales; Euphorbiaceae
Source: RNAcentral